AUGAACGCUGGCGGCAUGGAUUAGGCAUGCAAGUCGCACGAGAAUCCCGCCUUCGGGCGGGAGGACAGUGGCGAACGGGUGAGUAACACGUGAGCAUCUGCCUCCGGGUCGGGGACAGCCCGCGGAAACGCGGAUUAAUACCCGACGGUCCCUUCGGGGCAAAGAGGAAUCGCCCGGAGAUGAGCUCGCGGCCCAUCAGCUUGUUGGCGGGGUAACGGCCCACCAAGGCGACGACGGGUAGGUGGUCUGAGAGGAUGGUCACCCACACUGGGACUGAGACACUGCCCAGACUCCUACGGGAGGCUGCAGUCGAGAAUCAUCCGCAAUGGGCGAAAGCCUGACGGUGCAAUGCCGCGUGGGGGAUGAAGGCCUUCGGGUCGUAAACCCCUGUCAGAAGGGACGAAGCAAGUGACGGUACCUUCAGAGGAAGCCACGGCUAACUACGUGCCAGCAGCCGCGGUAAUACGUAGGUGGCGAGCGUUAUUCGGAUUUACUGGGCGUAAAGGGUCCGCAGGGGGUUUGCCAAGUCCGGUGUGAAAGUCCAGGGCUCAACCCUGGAACUGCGCCGGAUACUGGUGAACUGGAGUGCGCGAAGGGCAGGCGGAAUUCCUGGUGUAGCGGUGGAAUGCGUGGAUAUCAGGAAGAACACCGACGGCGAAAGCAGCCUGCUGGCGCGCCACUGACCCUCAUGGACGAAAGCGUGGGUAGCGAACCGGAUUAGAUACCCUGGUAGUCCACGCCGUAAACGGUGCAGACCCGAUGCGGGGGGCAGCCCCCUCCGUGUCCAAGCCAACGCGUUAAAUCUGCCGCCUGGGGACUACGGUCGCAAGGCUAAAACUCAAAGGAAUUGGCGGGGGCCCGCACAAGCGGUGGAGCAUGUGGCUUAAUUCGAGGCAACGCGAAGAACCUUACCCGGACUUGA
This 922-nucleotide ribosomal RNA is filed under the name uncultured organism. Its description in RNAcentral is "bacterial SSU rRNA". It matches the Rfam family "Bacterial small subunit ribosomal RNA", at positions 29 to 984 of the family's 1533-position model. The record is from RNAcentral.